GAAACCAAGAGUUUCACAACUACCUUGUUCAGAACUUAAAGAGAAAUCUCGAGUUUAUGGACUUCAGGGGGAGUAUGGUCACAAGGCUGAAACUUAAAGGAAUUGACGGAAGGGCACACCAGGAGUGGAGCCUGCGGCUUAAUUUGACUCAACACGGGAAAACUUACCAAGACCGAACAGUAGAAGGAAUGACAGAUUAAGAGUUCUUUCAUGAUUUAUUGGGUAGUGGUGCAUGGCCGUUCUUAAUUGGUGGAGUGAUUUGUCAGGUUAAUUCCGGUAACGAACGAGACUGAAACCUAUUAAUUAGUUUCCUGCCUAUACGACAGGAAUCUCCGCAAGGUCAGGUGCCUCGGUACCACUUCUUAAAGGGACACAUUUCAAUUGUCUCAUUUUAAUCUAUGUCUCUGGCUCCGGUCAGAACUUUUUUAACGUGAGAAAAAGAAAAAGGAAGCAUUCAGCAAUAACAGGUCUGUGAUGCCCUUAGACAUCUUGGGCCGCACGCGCGCUACAAUGGAGUUACUAGAGAGUAUUUUAUCAUCCAAGCCUUAUAUUG
RNAcentral lists this ribosomal RNA (553 nucleotides) under Entamoeba moshkovskii. RNAcentral describes it as "SSU rRNA". It matches the Rfam family "Eukaryotic small subunit ribosomal RNA", at positions 1045 to 1541 of the family's 1831-position model. Lineage: Eukaryota; Evosea; Mastigamoebida; Endamoebidae. The record is from RNAcentral.